This 455-nucleotide ribosomal RNA is filed under the name Paramedaeus aff. simplex JCYL-2010. Its description in RNAcentral is "partial 16S ribosomal RNA". It matches the Rfam family "Bacterial large subunit ribosomal RNA", at positions 1956 to 2610 of the family's 2925-position model. The record is from RNAcentral. Lineage: Eukaryota; Metazoa; Arthropoda; Malacostraca; Decapoda; Xanthidae.
GUAGCAUAAUCAUUAGUUUUUUAAUUGAAAACUGGUAUGAAGGGUUGGACAAAGGAAAGACUGUCUUUAAAAUAUAAGUUGAAAUUUACUUUUAAGUGAAAAGGCUUAAAUAUUUCAGAGGGACGAUAAGACCCUAUAAAGCUUUAUAUAUUAUUUAAAUUUGAUUGAUUUAUUGAUAUAAAAGUUAAGUUUAGGUUAUUAUAUUUUGUUGGGGCGACAUGAGUAUAAUUUUUAUUAACUGCUUAAGGGAAAUACAAUUAUAGGUGUAUUAAAGUUAUAUGAUCCUAUUUAAAGAUUAAAAGAACAAGUUACUUUAGGGAUAACAGCGUUAUUUCUUUUGAGAGCCCAUAUCGAAAAAGAAGUUUGCGACCUCGAUGUUGAAUUAAAAUAUCUAUAUAAUGCAGCAGUUAUAAAAGAGGGUCUGUUCGACCUUUAAAUUUUUACAUGAUUUGAGU